This 669-nucleotide small RNA is filed under the name Pan troglodytes (chimpanzee). Its description in RNAcentral is "processed transcript". The record is from RNAcentral. Lineage: Eukaryota; Metazoa; Chordata; Mammalia; Primates; Hominidae.
AGAAGGGAAUUGGAAGCUGCUAGAGGCUGAGCAUGCCUGUUGCCCAGGAGCUUCCGGAAAACUGUCACUCCAUAGCAUUCCGGAGUACACUGUGGCCACCCAAGAAACACGCUAAAAUUAAGGACCCAAGAAUGGGGCAGUUUUGACCUAAAAGGACUGGCCACAGCUUUGGUUAGAAGUGAAAGGAGGGAACUUGUAUGUGGACGAGAAUAGAAAACAGAGGACCUGGCAGUCCAGAGAUGUGGGCACAGGAGGGGAGAGUUCAGCUGUGCGGCGAGGGUUGGCGUGGACGGGACAGCCAUGCCCUCGGGGGUCGGUGAGGACGGGGCGGCCGUGCCCUCAGAGGCAAAGUUGGCCAAGAAUUACGGCAUGACCCGCAUGGACCCCUACUGCCGACUGCGCCUGGGCUACGCGGUGUACGAGACGCCCACGGCACACAAUGGUGCCAAGAAUCCCCGCUGGAAUAAGGUCAUCCACUGCACGGUGCCCCCAGGCGUGGACUCUUUCUAUCUCGAGAUCUUCGAUGAGAGAGCCUUCUCCAUGGACGACCGCAUUGCCUGGACCCACAUCACCAUCCCGGAGUCCCUGAGGCAGGGCAAGGUGGAGGACAAGUGGUACAGCCUGAGCGGGAGGCAGGGGGACGACAAGGAAGGCAUGAUCAACCUCGUC